GUGAAUCAUCGAAUUUUUGAACGCAAAUUGCACUCUCUUCUGAUAGGAUGCCUGUUUGAGUUUCAGCCUAAAAAAAAUCGACGUAGUCUCUGUUGCGCGGUCACUGUCUUCUGAAAUUGGGUCAUCUGAAACCUUUGGGUUUUUUAAGCGGCUUAAAAUUUUCGUUUCGAUUCCACAAACGUUUCUAAUAUUUUACUUCUUACACACUUUUAGGUUAUCGAUCUGUAUUAUGCGUUGCUGUUGCAUCGUAUCUC
This 254-nucleotide unclassified non-coding RNA is filed under the name Glomus sp. RNAcentral describes it as "partial internal transcribed spacer 2". Lineage: Eukaryota; Fungi; Glomeromycota; Glomeromycetes; Glomerales; Glomeraceae. The record is from RNAcentral.